Molecule: ribosomal RNA, 346 nt
Filed under: uncultured bacterium
Lineage: Bacteria
Description: partial 16S ribosomal RNA
Rfam family: Bacterial small subunit ribosomal RNA
Source: RNAcentral
CCUACGGGUGGCAGCAGUGAGGAAUAUUGGUCAAUGGGCUUACGCCUGAACCAGCCAAGUCGCGUGAGGGAAGACUGCCCUAUGGGUUGUAAACCUCUUUUGUCAGGGAGCAAGUGGCGCUACGUGUAGCGUUAUCGAGAGGACCUGAAGAAAAAGCAGCGGCGAACUCCGUGCCAGCAGCCGCGGUAAUACGGAGGAUGCGAGCGUUAUCCGGAUUGAUUGGGUGUAAAGGGUGCGUCGGCGGAAUGCCAAGUCAGCGGUAAAAUCGCGGGGCUCAACCUCGCUCCGCCGUUGAAACUGGCGUUCUUGAGUGGGCGAGACGUCUGCGGUAUGCGUGGUGUAGCGG